GGAGGUAGAAACACAUGAAAGGAGCUGCACCAUCAUCUGUCUGCCAGGGGAGUGGACCUGUCCACAGGAGCAAGAAAAUGGAAAUAAUUCCAUCCAGCCUGGGAUCUAUAAGAGCAACUAAAGGGGAUGAAAAUGAUCUAACACACCGGUCUGGCACCCAUCAAAGGAAAAUAGGUGUAGCUGUUGCUGCAAGAGGAGGAGAAAUUAAUUCCUACCCAAUGGUCCCAACCCAGUGCUUGUGUACCACAGCUUGCCUGAACAAAGGAUGGCGAAUGAACUGCUUCAGAAGCAUGUAUAGCACCCCAGCCUUGACCAGUGCAUGGACAACUUCAACAAUUAAAAGCCUGUAUUAAAGAUAAAUCGUAUCCUCUACAUCUCAGGUGCAAAAGGAAACCUGAAAUACAGGCUUUUUAGUAAAUGACUGUUCUCUUACCGUAUAGUUCGUAGGAUUCUGCAGAUUCUGACCUCUGGUAACAAUGAAUGCCAAAGGGAUGGAGCUUGGCACUGGGGGAAAGCUAGCUCUGUGCCUUACAGUGAGCUUUCAUGCAGUUGUACAUACUUUUAUGAUAUUGCAUAAUCUGUAGGGGACACCAUGCAAGACAGUUAUGUGAUUGAUAACUAUACAGACAAUUAAUUGUAAUGCUUUUAGAGGAGGAGUACACUGUGCUAAAUUUGGAAUAAAGUGCUUUCCAGAAAUGAUUUUAGUAGCCA
Anser brachyrhynchus (Pink-footed goose) is the source of this 711-nucleotide long non-coding RNA. Lineage: Eukaryota; Metazoa; Chordata; Aves; Anseriformes; Anatidae. The record is from Ensembl.